AACAGCUCAAAUUUGAAAUCUGGCCCUCGGGUCCGAGUUGUAAUUUGCAGAGGAUGCUUUUGGCGCGGUGCCUUCCGAGUUCCCUGGAACGGGACGCCUUAGAGGGUGAGAGCCCCGUACGGUUGGACACCAAGCCUCUGUAAAGCUCCUUCGACGAGUCGAGUAGUUUGGGAAUGCUGCUCUAAAUGGGAGGUAAAUUUCUUCUAAAGCUAAAUAUUGGCCAGAGACCGAUAGCGCACAAGUAGAGUGAUCGAAAGAUGAAAAGCACUUUGAAAAGAGGGUUAAACAGCACGUGAAAUUGUUGAAAGGGAAGCGUUUGCGACCAGACCUCUUCCCGGCGGAUCAUCCGGUGGUUUCCACCGGUGCACUUCGCCGGGUCGAGGCCAGCAUCGGUCUCUGCAGGGGGAUAAAAGCCCUGGGAACGUAGCUCCUCCGGGAGUGUUAUAGCCCUUCGCAUAAUACCCUUGCGGGGACCGAGGACCGCGCCUUCGGGCAAGGAUGCUGGCGUAAUGGUCGUCAACGACCCGUCUUGAAACACGGACCAAGGAGUCGAACAUUUGUGCGAGUGUUUGGGUGUCAAACCCUCACGCGUAAUGAAAGUGAACGGAGGUGAGAGCCCUUACGGGCGCAUCAUCGACCGAUCCUGAUGUCUUCGGAUGGAUUUGAGUAAGAGCAUAACUGUUCGGACCCGAAAGAUGGUGAACUAUGCGUGGAUAGGGUGAAGCCAGAGGAAACUCUGGUGGAGGCUCGCAGCGGUUCUGACGUGCAAAUCGAUCGUCAAAUCUGCGCAUGGGGGCGAAAGACUUAUCGAACCAUCUAGUAGCUGGUUACCGCCGAAGUUUCCCUCAGGAUAGCAGUGUUGUUCUUCAGUUUUAUGAGGUAAAGCGAAUGAUUAGGGACUCGGGGGCGCUUUUUUGCCUUCAUCCAUUCUCAAACUUUAAAUAUGUAAGAAGCCCUUGUUACUUAGUUGAACGUGGGCAUUCGAAUGUACCAACACUAGUGGGCCAUUUUUGGUAAGCAGAACUGGCGAUGCGGGAUGAACCGAACGCGGGGUUAAGGUGCCGGAGUGGACGCUCAUCAGACACCACAAAAGGUGUUAGCACAUUUAGACAAUAGGACGGUGGCCAUGGAAGUCGGAAUCCGCUAAGGACUGUGUAACAACUCACCUAUCGAAUGUGCUAGCCCUGAAAAUGGAUGGCGCUCAAGCGUCCCACCCAUACCUCGCCCUCA
RNAcentral lists this ribosomal RNA (1230 nucleotides) under fungal sp. RNAcentral's name for it is "eukaryotic LSU rRNA". It matches the Rfam family "Eukaryotic large subunit ribosomal RNA", at positions 103 to 1357 of the family's 3401-position model. Lineage: Eukaryota; Fungi. The record is from RNAcentral.